This 497-nucleotide ribosomal RNA is filed under the name uncultured bacterium. RNAcentral describes it as "partial 16S ribosomal RNA". It matches the Rfam family "Bacterial small subunit ribosomal RNA", at positions 28 to 507 of the family's 1533-position model. The record is from RNAcentral.
GAUGAACGCUGGCGGCGUGCCUAAUACAUGCAAGUCGAGCGAACGGACGAGAAGCUUGCUUCUCUGAUGUUAGCGGCGGACGGGUGAGUAACACGUGGAUAACCUACCUAUAAGACUGGGAUAACUUCGGGAAACCGGAGCUAAUACCGGAUAAUAUUUUGAACCGCAUGGUUCAAAAGUGAAAGACGGUCUUGCUGUCACUUAUAGAUGGAUCCGCGCUGCAUUAGCUAGUUGGUAAGGUAACGGCUUACCAAGGCAACGAUGCAUAGCCGACCUGAGAGGCUGAUCGGCCACACUGGAACUGAGACACGGUCCAGACUCCUACGGGAGGCAGCAGUAGGGAAUCUUCCGCAAUGGGCGAAAACCUGACGGAGCAACGCCGCGUUAGUGAUGAAGGUCUUCGGAUCGUAAAACUCUGUUAUUAGGGAAGAACAUCUGUGUAAGUAACUGUGCACAUCUUGACGGUACCUAAUCAGAAAGCCACGGCUAACUACGUG